AUGUGGAGGAAUGAGAGGAAGAGGCCGCAGAGCCGCGAACGAUGGUACGAGUUGCAUUGUGGCGGAGUGGGGGGGGAGGGGAAGGCAGUGGCUUUCAGUUUAUCCACCCGUUUCCAUCUCUACCCCCACAGCAGUGUGUGUGAGCUAUUGUCUAGACCGGUGAGUGGGUAUGACAAAGGUAUGAAUGGCGGUACAAUAGUGGGGAUUUUUUGUGUAAACCCUGUAUAUACCUCUCUAGGGCUAAAGAUUUUACUGAUCAACAUUAACACACUCGGAAUCUGUUUCUAUAUUAGCCAUAGCUCUGUAGUUUGUGCCCAUCACAUUUUUUUUAGUAUGUCUCUUAUCUACAAAAUGUUCUCGUUGUGAACAUGUUGUAACAGGUCAUGACCUCCAUGAAGAUCCCUCUGGAAGAUCACACUGGAAACUGCAGAGAAAACAACAUACACUACAUCACUCCAGGUUAAAGUUCAAGGUCAGACCGCUAAUCAUGAUUCAGUAUGAAAAUCAGAGCUGGAUCAAAAGAAACAGAUUGACUUGGCACCUGCCCAUCAUGUGCUGUUUAACGUUUAACAAAAAUAUGAGCUCUUAUCUUUAAUCAGAUACACCGAGGUGAGUAAAAUAUUAUUUCUUUAUGGAAUUUUUUUUAUUGGGGUUUUAUACCUGGGCUUUAUACUCCUGGGACAGUUAUGGUAGAACAAAGUUCCUAUAGGAUUGUCCAAACAACCAAGACACUCUCUGGUUUCAAACACAGUCUGAUGACCUCUCCCAUUAAAUACCACUAAGCACACACUUAUUAAAGGCUUGUGUAUAAUUUCUUUCAUUUUUGUGAAAAUUAUGUGAUCAGGCAUAAUGAGGAGCUUGCUAGUCUAGUGUAGUGCCAGUGGCUGUAUCUAUGUAUCUUUAUUGGUUUUAGUAUUUAACAGUAUCUAAGUGAGAAUGUAUUUGUAAGUACGUAAAAAAAUGUAUGAUUAGAUACCAUAAAUGUAAAUUAAUUAAGUUACGUUUUAAAACCCUAAAUUCAAUCUCAA
Molecule: long non-coding RNA, 1028 nt
Filed under: Astyanax mexicanus (Mexican tetra)
Lineage: Eukaryota; Metazoa; Chordata; Actinopteri; Characiformes; Acestrorhamphidae
Description: lncRNA (ENSAMXG00005021443.1)
Source: RNAcentral